AUUCAUAAUUCCAGUCUUUGGACAACAAGAAACUAAAUCAGGCGUGCUCUCUGUCACAUCUGUCAGCAUCAUGCUGCUGUGCACUGCAGGCAUUUGUCCAUAAAACUCUGUUCACAGCCAGUGGGAUCAGGACUAUAGAAAUAUCAACUGGUACUUUGCAAGAUGCAGACAUUUUGAUUGAGACUAGAGAUGUGAAGAAGUGUUCAGAUGGAGAAGAUUGGAGAAGCUGGCUGAAGAAAUGGGAGAGACAAUGCCUUCGUCUGCCAGUGGGCCUCUAAAACUUCAUGUGUUUACCAAAACUGGAUAGUGGAUCACUGCUAGCAGACCUCAUUCCAGAGAUCUCACAACGCACCACUAAACCCUUGGACCUUAUGCACUUUACAUCUUCUACAGGACAUCUGUCCAGUCCUCUCCUCCUAGCAGUGCCUAUGUGGCUCUCCUGGCACCCUCCCACUGAGCCUUCUCUACAGCUAUGGCAAGUGUAAUAUUCCUCAGUUCCUCCUUCAGAAAGCAUCUGUAAAAUGCUUUAUCUGUGGUAUGACUGUUUAGAAAGUCAGUGGUUUUCUAGAAAGAGGAAACUGGUGAAAUCAGAGUAAACUGACAGAGAUCUUAGUGUGUUGCUGUGAUGCGAGGUAAGGAAUGUAUUUUAUUAUGGAUUUUUUUUUUCUACAUGACCAGUAAAGGAAACGCUUCUGUUGGGGACAUAUUGAAUAAUAUUUUUUAAAUGGAAGUUAUAUCAAAAGGAAUAACUUCAUUGAAUUUGAAGGUUUUGGGCAAACAGUAUGAAUGGGAACAAGACGAGGUUUGUUCUGUUUUGUUAUCGAGUAUUCUGAUGUUUUGAAAAAGGAGGGGGAUUUUUGGUGCCAUUUAGAAUUGAAUAGGAUGGUUCCGUUGGAAGGGUCCUUAAUGAUCAUCUAGUCCAUCUGCCUGGCCACUUCAGAGCUAAUUAAAAGUUAAAGCACAUUGUUGAGAGCAUUAUCACAGAAUCAUAGAGAUAUCCCAAUGCCUCUUGACCACUGAAAGGCAUGGGGCUUCCACCACCUAUGCAGGAAGCCUGUUCCAGGGUCUGACCACCCUCAUAGUAAAAAAGUUUUUUCUGAUGCUCAAUCUGAAUAUCCCCUGGCGUGGCUUUGACAAAAGCAAUAACAGAAAAUGCUCUGAGGAGGUCACAAAACUCUCAGAAGAAAACAAAUUGGUUUUUAAGAUUCAAUAAUAAAGGCUUAUCUGUGGCAGUGUAUACUUGGUGUAUUACUUCAUCAUCUUUCAAUCAUCAUUUUGUUCAUAUUUCAAAAUAAUGUUAGUUUGCAUAUUCCAGCACAGAAUUAAUGAAUUUAUUCACAUUAAUGUCAUGUCUAAAGUUUAGCAUGAUCAAGACAUCAUUUAUUUGUAAAAACAUGCAUGGUUUUUGUUUACCAUUAUUUAUUUUUGAAGCUGUAUUUUGAAACAAUGCACAAUUUUUCCUCUCUUCAUUUGCUUGGCCUCUUUACAAGUAUCAAAGAAAUGAAUUUUAUGGAUUGGUUUGUUUUUGCAUCACACGAUAUUUAUCCCACUGUGUAAUGAUUUAAUUAUUUAGUUGAUGCUUGUACAUUAUUUUGUAUUUUGAAAAAGUAGCCAUUAAAAGGUUUCCAACAUGAAUUUCUCUUUCCUAGUAGCUGCUGACUUUUCAAGUUGUUUUUUUUUCUUUCUUUCUUUCUUUUUUUUUACCAGGCAAAACCAUCACAGUGCUCUCUAAAUCCUCUGCAAAUAAUACACAAAUGUCUAUGUGGUUUGGUUAAAAUGAGCGUAUAUAGCUAUAAACCUAACACACCAAUAUUUUCUUUCUGUCAAAAAAUCUUCUUUAGUGACAUCACAAGAUUCUACACAAAUGUCAAAGCAGAACUGCUAAGUCUGAGGUGGCUUGUUGCCAAGUUACAUAAUAUAUAUUCUCUACAGUUGUACACAGGUUUUUCAAUAUAAUUGUCCCUUAUUGGCAUAGUUCUUAAAAUCUUGACUUUCGUAGUAUUUGACAAACAGUAUCAAUUUCAUCAGAGUAGCUAACAGGUAACUGAGUAGAAGAAAUAUGCUACGAGCUUUCUACUGCUUUAAACAAUGAUAGACUUAAUAAAAAAAAUUAUCAUAUGCCUCACUAUUGACUACAUUAGUACAUAGUGAACAGAAAAGUACUUACACAGUAUUCAAUUUGUUUCUUAGAAAAAAUACCCAGUGAUGAAAAGAGACCUGUCAUUUUCGUGAUACUCUAGAAGUUAGAGUUGCUGAACAAAACAAAGUCUGAAUAAUCCCCAUCACAUAAGUAAAAAUGAAUUGAAAUCCUAGCGCAUGAAGCUACUUAGGAACUUUGAACAGCGGAAAUAAGAAUUAGAAUAAUUUGCCUUUAAUACAGAAGUUCUUUAGCAUGAAUUUAUUAUUGUUUUGGAUACAAAUGUAUGACAAUGAUAUUUUUCUGUCAUGCAGUGUAUGUAUUGUGGUAGGAAAAGUAUGAAGUGUUGUUGUUUGGACAACCAGAAUGUCAGUCAGAGCUCUCACCUUAUGACAGCGAUCAUAAUGAGGUUCUACAUGUGUAAACAGUAUAAACAUAAAUAACAAUGUCUGACCAAUGGGAUUCAAAAUAUUGAAUACAUUGAAAGCUAGUUACAGCUUACCAUUAAUGUGUGAAUUACAUACUAGCAUUGUAAAAGUUCAAAUUUUAAUAAAGUUUAUUUUGGAUU
Gallus gallus (chicken) is the source of this 2705-nucleotide long non-coding RNA. NCBI's taxonomy places the organism in Eukaryota, Metazoa, Chordata, Aves, Galliformes, Phasianidae. The record is from Ensembl.